UACGAAGGGGGCUAGCGUUGUUCGGAAUUACUGGGCGUAAAGGGCGCGUAGGCGGUUGCUCAAGUCAGGCGUGAAAGCCCCGGGCUCAACCUGGGAAUAGCGCUUGAGACUGGGCGGCUUGAGUUCGGGAGAGGUGAGUGGAAUUCCCAGUGUAGAGGUGAAAUUCGUAGAUAUUGGGAAGAACACCGGUGGCGAAGGCGGCUCACUGGACCGACACUGACGCUGAGGCGCGAAAGCGUGGGGGAGCAAACAGG
This 254-nucleotide ribosomal RNA is filed under the name uncultured bacterium. Its description in RNAcentral is "partial 16S ribosomal RNA". It matches the Rfam family "Bacterial small subunit ribosomal RNA", at positions 524 to 776 of the family's 1533-position model. The record is from RNAcentral.